Molecule: ribosomal RNA, 276 nt
Filed under: uncultured bacterium
Lineage: Bacteria
Description: partial 16S ribosomal RNA
Rfam family: Bacterial small subunit ribosomal RNA
Source: RNAcentral
UGAUACCUACGGGGCGCAGCAGUGAGGAAUAUUGGUCAAUGGGCGAGAGCCUGAACCAGCCAAGUCGCGUGAAGGAUGACGGCCCUACGGGUUGUAAACUUCUUUUGUCAGGGAGCAAUUGGGUCCACGCGUGGGCUUAGCGAGAGUACCUGAAGAAAAAGCAUCGGCUAACUCCGUGCCAGCAGCCGCGGUAAUACGGGGGGUGCAAGCGUUGUCCGGAAUCAUUGGGCGUAAAGCGUUCGUAGGCGGCAAGGUAAGUCUGAUGUUAAAGCCCGG